This 380-nucleotide ribosomal RNA is filed under the name uncultured eukaryote. RNAcentral's name for it is "partial 18S ribosomal RNA". It matches the Rfam family "Eukaryotic small subunit ribosomal RNA", at positions 592 to 976 of the family's 1831-position model. The record is from RNAcentral.
CAAUAGCGUAUAUUAAAGUUGUUGCGGUUAAAAAGCUCGUAGUUGGAGUUCUGCCAGGUGCCGUCUGUCCGCCCCAGUGGUGAGUACGUGACGCGCAUUUGGCCCUUUCAAGGGGAGCGUAUCUGCACUUUACUGUGUGGUGCGGGAUCCUUGACUUUUACUUUGAGGAAAUAGGAGUGUUCCAAGCAGGCUCUCGUCGUGCACAGCUCAGCAUGGAAUAAUAGCAUUGGACCUCGAUUCUAAGCUGUUGGUUGCCAGAAGCGAGGUAAUGAUGAAGAGGGAUAGUUGGGGGCAUUCGUAUUUAACUGUCAGAGGUGAAGUUCUUGGAUUUGUUAAAGACGGACUACUGCGAAAGCAUCUGCCAUGGAUGUUUUCAUUGA